Molecule: small RNA, 123 nt
Filed under: Marmota monax (woodchuck)
Lineage: Eukaryota; Metazoa; Chordata; Mammalia; Rodentia; Sciuridae
Source: RNAcentral
GCUGGGUGCGGUGGUGCAUAUCUGUAAUCCCAGCAGCUUGGGAGGCUGAGACAGGAGGAUCGUGAGUUCAGUCAGCCUCAGCAAUGGUGAGGUGCCAAGCAAUUCAGUGAGACCCUGUCUCAA